AAUGUUGUUAAGGAAAUAACUCUUACUUACAAAACAGUAAUGUUAAGUGAAAAAAAUGGUGUUUAGCGUUAUAAACAAACAUCGGUGAUUUUGUUAAAAAAAGUUAUAACUAACAUUAAUUAAAAUCAAUAAAAUAUUAAUGAUGUCUUUGUUUUUAUUUCUUGUUCACGUGGAAAGAAAUGUGUGGUUCGUUAUUAUUUGGAUAACCAGAUGUGUAGGGGGAGUGAUG
Molecule: long non-coding RNA, 229 nt
Filed under: Phaseolus vulgaris (common bean)
Lineage: Eukaryota; Viridiplantae; Streptophyta; Magnoliopsida; Fabales; Fabaceae
Description: long non-coding RNA (PVUL_LNC003135)
Source: RNAcentral